UGCUAUCUCUCACCACAUCAGCUGUGAAUGAUAAUAAGGAUAUAAUUAUUUGGAAAAAUUAAUAAAAGAUAAAAGUAGUUGCCCAUGCUUUAGUGAUGUGGCAUAAUAUAUAAACGUUCUAUUUUUCCAAUAUAGUUACCCAUGUCAAUCAUAUUGUAACAUCAUAAUACAAGUGCACAUUUCAUCAUUACUAACUAAUGUUAUUCAAAAUAUACAAGCCUUAAGCAUGGUUUUGUACAAUAUGUAAGGAUAACAUCGAGAAAAUGAGGAAAUUAAAUAGCAAAAUAUAGAUCAACAGUCCUUUAAAUCUCAGCAAUGAAUAAAGCUGAAUUUACCUGGCAAAGAGCUUCCUCCAACUA
This 359-nucleotide unclassified non-coding RNA is filed under the name Hevea brasiliensis (rubber tree). Lineage: Eukaryota; Viridiplantae; Streptophyta; Magnoliopsida; Malpighiales; Euphorbiaceae. The record is from RNAcentral.